GGACGAAUCACUGGAGAGACUCAUAAUGAGCACCGAAGGAGUAACACUCUCAGGUAAAAGGACAGUGACUUAUAC
Molecule: non-coding RNA, 75 nt
Organism: Catenibacterium sp. CAG:290
Lineage: Bacteria; Bacillati; Bacillota; Erysipelotrichia; Erysipelotrichales; Coprobacillaceae
Source: Rfam